Non-coding RNA from Pelobates cultripes (western spadefoot toad), 308 nucleotides. The record is from the annotation of a GenBank genome assembly. NCBI's taxonomy places the organism in Eukaryota, Metazoa, Chordata, Amphibia, Anura, Pelobatidae.
UUUCAGUUCAGUUCGGCAUUCCGAACUGCAUUCCGAACUGCAUUCCAUACUGCUGGGUUUUUUUUUUUUAAUGCUGUUUUAGGGUUAGGGAUAGCAUAGAGUUAAGGUUAAGGAUAAGAUUAGGGUUAGUAUAUGGUAAGAGUUAUUCUAAGCAGAGGUUAAGGGGUAUCGAUAAGGUUAAGGAUAAGAUUAGGGUUAGUAUACAUUAAGAGUUACUCUAAGCAGAGGUUAAGGGGUAUCGAUGGUAAAGAGUUAGUGGGGGUUGGUAUAGGGUUAGUGUUAACUACCAAAUUUAAUUUAGAUUCUAG